AGAGUUUGAUCCUGGCUCAGGACGAACGCUGGCGGCGUGCUUAACACAUGCAAGUCAAGGGGGCCCAGCAAUGGGCAACCGGCGAACGGGUGCGUAACACGUGAGCAACCUACCGAAGUGUGGGGGAUAGCCGGCCUAACGGCCGAGUAAUACCGCAUACGAUUCCGAAGAGGCAUUUCUUUGGAAUGAAACCUACGGGGUACUUCGAGGGGCUCGCGGCCUAUCAGCUAGUUGGUGAGGUAACGGCUCACCAAGGCAACGACGGGUAGCUGGUCUGAGAGGAUGGCCAGCCACAUUGGGACUGAGAAACGGCCCAGACUCCUACGGGAGGCAGCAGUGGGGAAUCUUGCGCAAUGGCCUAACGGCUGACGCAGCGACGCCGCGUGAGGGAUGAAGCUCUUCGGAGUGUAAACCUCUGUUGCCCGGGACGAACAGCUCAUUUAAAUGAGCCUGACGGUACCGGGUGAGGAAGCACCGGCUAACUCCGUGCCAGCAGCCGCGGUAAUACGGGGGGUGCGAGCGUUGUCCGGAAUCACUGGGCGUAAAGGGCGCGUAGGUGGUCUGAUAAGGGUGUGGUGAAAGUCCGGGGCUCAACCCCGGAUCUGCCGUGCCGACUGUCAGACUCGAGGACUGUAGAGGCAGGCGGAAUUCCGGGUGUAGCGGUGGAAUGCGUAGAGAUCCGGAGGAAGACCGGUGGCGAAGGCGGCCUGCUGGGCAGUUACUGACACUGAGGCGCGACAGCGUGGGGAGCAAACAGGAUUAGAUACCCUGGUAGUCCACGCCGUAAACGAUGGGUACUAGGUGCCUGGGGGAGCGACCCUCUGGGUGCCGGCGCCAACGCAGGAAGUACCCCGCC
RNAcentral lists this ribosomal RNA (856 nucleotides) under uncultured bacterium. RNAcentral describes it as "bacterial SSU rRNA". It matches the Rfam family "Bacterial small subunit ribosomal RNA", at positions 9 to 873 of the family's 1533-position model. The record is from RNAcentral.